RNAcentral lists this ribosomal RNA (301 nucleotides) under uncultured bacterium. RNAcentral describes it as "partial 16S ribosomal RNA". It matches the Rfam family "Bacterial small subunit ribosomal RNA", at positions 509 to 808 of the family's 1533-position model. The record is from RNAcentral.
CAGUCGCCGCGGUAAUACGUAGGGUGCGAGCGUUGUCCGGAAUUAUUGGGCGUAAAGCGCGCGCAGGCGGCCUAUCCAGUCUGUCUUAAAAGUUCGGGGCUCAACCCCGUGAUGGGAUGGAAACUAGUAGGCUAGAGUAUCGGAGAGGAAAGCGGAAUUCCUAGUGUAGCGGUGAAAUGCGUAGAUAUUAGGAAGAACACCAGUGGCGAAGGCGGCUUUCUGGACGAAAACUGACGCUGAGGCGCGAAAGCUAGGGGAGCGAACGGGAUUAGAUACCCCAGUAGUCCCUGUCUCUUAUACA